GUGGGGAAUAUUGGACAAUGGGGGCAACCCUGAUCCAGCGACGCCGCGUGGGUGAAGAAGGCCUGCGGGUUGUAAAGCCCUUUCGGUGGGGAUGAAAAGCUUCGUUCUAACACAGCGGAGUCUUGACCUAACCCACAAAAGAAGCACCGGCUAACUCUGUGCCAGCAGCCGCGGUAAUACAGAGGGUGCGAGCGUUAAUCGGAAUUACUGGGCGUAAAGCGCGCGUAGGCGGCUUUGCAAGUCGGAUGUGAAAUCCCCGGGCUCAACCUGGGAACUGCAUUCGAGACUGCAUUGCUAGAGUAUGGGAGAGGGAAGUGGAAUUUCAGGUGUAGCGGUGAAAUGCGUAGAUAUCUGAAGGAACAUCAGUGGCGAAAGCGACUUCCUGGACCAAUACUGACGCUCAUGUGCGAAAGCGUGGGGAGCAAA
This 426-nucleotide ribosomal RNA is filed under the name uncultured bacterium. Its description in RNAcentral is "bacterial SSU rRNA". It matches the Rfam family "Bacterial small subunit ribosomal RNA", at positions 354 to 772 of the family's 1533-position model. The record is from RNAcentral.